UUUCUUGGUAGAGGUGCGGAGGCCAUGAGUAGCCGGGCGCGCGGUUCCGAUCCGCUUCGGACGCCUGAGCGAAAGGGGCUUCUCGACCGAUGAGGCCGAGGCAACUUUUUCCAGUUGGUUGUCCGCCGAAACUGCCGCGAUAGCUGGAGCGCGGCGGUUGGAGGGCAGGUCUAAGGCCUGUCCGCUGUCGUCCGUCUAUGUGAGCGGCCUUUUGGCCGCGCAGAAACGGAUGGAGCGCUAUCGAGAGG
Molecule: non-coding RNA, 248 nt
Filed under: Acidobacteriota bacterium
Lineage: Bacteria; Pseudomonadati; Acidobacteriota
Description: Acidobacteria bacterium Lysine sequence
Rfam family: Lysine riboswitch aptamer
About the family: Riboswitches are metabolite binding domains within certain messenger RNAs that serve as precision sensors for their corresponding targets.
Source: RNAcentral